Molecule: ribosomal RNA, 2165 nt
Filed under: Cronobacter dublinensis
Lineage: Bacteria; Pseudomonadati; Pseudomonadota; Gammaproteobacteria; Enterobacterales; Enterobacteriaceae
Description: partial 23S ribosomal RNA
Rfam family: Bacterial large subunit ribosomal RNA
Source: RNAcentral
CUAAUGUUGAAAAAUUAGCGGAUGACCUGUGGCUGGGGGUGAAAGGCCAAUCAAACCGGGAGAUAGCUGGUUCUCCCCGAAAGCUAUUUAGGUAGCGCCUCGUGAAUUCAUCUUCGGGGGUAGAGCACUGUUUCGGCUAGGGGGCCAUCCCGGCUUACCAACCCGAUGCAAACUACGAAUACCGAAGAAUGUUAUCACGGGAGACACACGGCGGGUGCUAACGUCCGUCGUGAAGAGGGAAACAACCCAGACCGCCAGCUAAGGUCCCAAAGUCAUGGUUAAGUGGGAAACGAUGUGGGAAGGCACAGACAGCCAGGAUGUUGGCUUAGAAGCAGCCAUCAUUUAAAGAAAGCGUAAUAGCUCACUGGUCGAGUCGGCCUGCGCGGAAGAUGUAACGGGGCUAAACCAUGCACCGAAGCUGCGGCAGCGACACUAUGUGUUGUUGGGUAGGGGAGCGUUCUGUAAGCCUGCGAAGGUGUGCUGUGAGGCAUGCUGGAGGUAUCAGAAGUGCGAAUGCUGACAUAAGUAACGAUAAAGCGGGUGAAAAGCCCGCUCGCCGGAAGACCAAGGGUUCCUGUCCAACGUUAAUCGGGGCAGGGUGAGUCGACCCCUAAGGCGAGGCCGAAAGGCGUAGUCGAUGGGAAACAGGUUAAUAUUCCUGUACUUGGUGUUACUGCGAAGGGGGGACGGAGAAGGCUAUGUUGGCCGGGCGACGGUUGUCCCGGUUUAAGCGUGUAGGUGUGUGUUCCAGGUAAAUCCGGUUCACUUUAACACUGAGGCGUGAUGACGAGGCACUACGGUGCUGAAGUAACAAAUGCCCUGCUUCCAGGAAAAGCCUCUAAGCAUCAGGUAACAUCAAAUCGUACCCCAAACCGACACAGGUGGUCAGGUAGAGAAUACCAAGGCGCUUGAGAGAACUCGGGUGAAGGAACUAGGCAAAAUGGUGCCGUAACUUCGGGAGAAGGCACGCUGACAUGUAGGUGAAGCCCCUGCGGGUGGAGCUGAAGUCAGUCGAAGAUACCAGCUGGCUGCAACUGUUUAUUAAAAACACAGCACUGUGCAAACACGAAAGUGGACGUAUACGGUGUGACGCCUGCCCGGUGCCGGAAGGUUAAUUGAUGGGGUUAUCGCAAGAGAAGCUCCUGAUCGAAGCCCCGGUAAACGGCGGCCGUAACUAUAACGGUCCUAAGGUAGCGAAAUUCCUUGUCGGGUAAGUUCCGACCUGCACGAAUGGCGUAAUGAUGGCCAGGCUGUCUCCACCCGAGACUCAGUGAAAUUGAACUCGCUGUGAAGAUGCAGUGUACCCGCGGCAAGACGGAAAGACCCCGUGAACCUUUACUACAGCUUGACACUGAACAUUGAGCCUUGAUGUGUAGGAUAGGUGGGAGGCUUUGAAGCGUGGACGCCAGUCUGCGUGGAGCCAACCUUGAAAUACCACCCUUUAAUGUUUGAUGUUCUAACCUGGCGCCAUAAUCUGGCGUGGGGACAGUGUCUGGUGGGUAGUUUGACUGGGGCGGUCUCCUCCCAAAGUGUAACGGAGGAGCACGAAGGUCAGCUAAUCCUGGUCGGACAUCAGGAGGUUAGUGCAAUGGCAUAAGCUGGCUUGACUGCGAGAGUGACGGCUCGAGCAGGUGCGAAAGCAGGUCAUAGUGAUCCGGUGGUUCUGUAUGGAAGGGCCAUCGCUCAACGGAUAAAAGGUACUCCGGGGAUAACAGGCUGAUACCGCCCAAGAGUUCAUAUCGACGGCGGUGUUUGGCACCUCGAUGUCGGCUCAUCACAUCCUGGGGCUGAAGUAGGUCCCAAGGGUAUGGCUGUUCGCCAUUUAAAGUGGUACGCGAGCUGGGUUUAGAACGUCGUGAGACAGUUCGGUCCCUAUCUGCCGUGGGCGCUGGAGAAUUGAGGGGGGCUGCUCCCAGUACGAGAGGACCGGAGUGGACGCAUCACUGGUGUUCGGGUUGUCAUGCCAAUGGCACUGCCCGGUAGCUAAAUGCGGAAGAGAUAAGUGCUGAAAGCAUCUAAGCACGAAACUUGCCCCGAGAUGAGUUCUCCCUGAGACUAUAAGUCUCCUGAAGGAACGUUGAAGACGACGACGUUGAUAGGCCGGGUGUGUAAGCGCAGCGAUGCGUUGAGCUAACCGGUACUAAUGAACCGUGAGGCUUAACCUU